This 252-nucleotide ribosomal RNA is filed under the name uncultured bacterium. RNAcentral's name for it is "partial 16S ribosomal RNA". It matches the Rfam family "Bacterial small subunit ribosomal RNA", at positions 524 to 776 of the family's 1533-position model. The record is from RNAcentral.
UACGUAGGUCCCGAGCGUUGUCCGGAUUUAUUGGGCGUAAAGCGAGCGCAGGUGGUUUAUUAAGUCUGGUGUAAAAGGCAGUGGCUCAACCAUUGUAUGCAUUGGAAACUGGUAGACUUGAGUGCAGGAGAGGAGAGUGGAAUUCCAUGUGUAGCGGUGAAAUGCGUAGAUAUAUGGAGGAGCACCGGUGGCGAAAGCGGCCUGCUGGACUGCAACUGACGUUGAGGCCCGAAAGCGUGGGGAGCAAACAGG